GAAUUUGACAAAUAAUCCAUAGAAAGCACAAAUGAGCAAACAGCAAGAAAUGACUAGAUUAUGCCACCUUCACACUGAAAUCCUAGGAGGAUCAUACCAAAUUAAAAACAUCAAUUCAUAUUCAGGUACUAAUGCACUGACUUUUCCAGUGGGCUGAAGAUUGUCACUACCCAUAGACUUCAAAAGGAAUUAUGGAUGAUCAAUUUGGAUCUUAAAAUAGAUGUAGGAAGGUUAAGUACAGUGUCUCUCACACAGGGCAUCAGCCAUGGUGGGAUUUCAGUCCUGGAGAAAGUCAAAAAUAGAAGGAGAAGGAGAAGGAGAAGGAGAAGGAGGAGUUUUCUCUGGAAGGUUUGUAGGCAGUGGUGGUCUGGAAUGAACAGCUCAGUGUGAGCAGGGGAGAGGCACGAGAUGUGUUGUGAAGACUGUGACACAGCUAUCGGGAAUCACUCAGGCACACCGAGGACUACGGGGACACCAGCGUGAUUUGUACCAAGUCUAAUGGAAAAAUCAAUUCAUUCAUUCUUGAAGAAGAAACAAAACUGCAUUAACAAACCUUCUCUGGUCAGUGCUAUUUAAAUCUUUAAUUAGCAGAAAAGGGGAGAACAUCAGAACAAGGAGGCGGCUAUAAAAUGAUUCCCUGUGGAGGAGGGAUUGACCAGGUUUUGCUCUCCCUCUGAGUUCUGUGGGGAAACCAGACAUUCAGCUCCAAGCUGGCAGUGCUGGAAUAUGCAGUGUGACACUGAGAAGCCAGCUGUGGCACAUUUCUUCCCUAAUCCAGCCCCUGGCACUGUCUUCAGAAGAGACUGAUGUGAACAGGAGGCUCCUCUACAAAAACUCUGGAGCUCUUAUUUUCUCAGGAACAGGCAGCCUGUAGAGCAUAUUUUUGAGAGAUGGCUGAGAAAAUUUUGUUUCAGAAGGCAUAAAGACCAUGACACCAUGACAUAAUCACCUAAGAACACAAAUCUCCCCAAAGAAGCAGCUGAAACCACGACUCAUGCAAUCAUCUGGCCAUAGUGCAGCAUAGCUGUAUUAUGUCAAGGCAGCAGCGAGAAGCCACCUCCAGAACCCCUGUGGGGUGACAUCACACCAACCCCACCGCCCGUGGGGACACACUUUUCUCUUCAAAAGGCAAGAAGCAGCAGCUACUGCAGGUUUCACCAGGAAGUGGUGACUACUUGACUUGACAAACAGAAGUUAACAACAGCAUCACCCUGAGCUCUGUGGCUUGGGCUUCAGCUGAGCGAAGCCCUAAGGGAUGCUCCACGACCAAGCUUGAUGCCACAAGGACAGCAGGGUGGACACUGGAUACACGGCCACCAGCACCACCACUACCACAAACGCCAUGCUGCUCCAGCAGAAGGCUUCACUACUACUGCUGCUUGCUCUUUGUACAAUUUGGCCUUGUCUUCAGCCAGGACCUCAGGCAGAAAAGUGCAUAUUCACUGGAAACAGUCAGAGAAGUGAUACAGUGGUCCAUCAAUAACACAACACCUCCAGCACCUCUCAGAUAUCUGCAGGAGAGAUAAAGAUAACUACAAGUAUCAUAAACCUCUUGUACAAUAUCCACAUCUUCUUUUAAUUAAUUAUUCUGAUACCAAGCACAAAGGUGACAGACAACUGUAGAGAUCAAACUGAUCUCUUGGUGUAGACAUCAAACUGAUUUAAUCUGGAGUUACUCCAGUCUCUGUCAAACUCGGCUAAGAAUCAGACGCUUUAUCUUUUAAUUUCAAUGGUUUAUUUUGUUUCUUGGUUGUUUUUUAAUUUUUAUUUUCCCCAAGAAGCUAAUGUGAACUUGAAAUGUAAAGUGAUUUUAUUUUGAGGAGCACAAAGUAAAUAGGUAUUAUUUUAAGGAUAAUGUUCUGAAUUAGACAAAUAGCAUUUAUAAACUGAAGUUUUUUGAAAGAAAGCAUGCUUCAUUGGAUGACAUUUGCUAAAAACACUUCCAUUUGUCAUGUCUUGAUGCCUCCACAGCUUAUUUAUGACACUCUUAAUGCUGUCUGCUCUGGUGGUGAAGCUCCCAUCUAAGUAGUAAUAUAAAUCAGCAGGAUGCCAAAAGUUAACCACACUGCAACAUUUUAAUGUUGCUGGGUAAGAGAGACUCACGAACACAAACCACUGAAAAAUCGAUACUAAAACAGCAUCCAGUCAUGCCAAAUGGCUCUGACCUUCUUUCCCCUUAGAGCUUCAUCAUGGCCAGGGGUUUGGUUAGCAGUGGGGUCCUGUGCCUGCUGCAGAAAAGGAGGGCAGUACCCAUGGUGCAGUGAAUUGCACUUCAUACGAGUCAGGAUCAGAUAAUGGACUCAGCUCCUUGUACUACUGGGGGUGAUGGCUGGAGUCCCAUCC
This is a long non-coding RNA of Passer domesticus (house sparrow), 2343 nucleotides long. RefSeq lists it as uncharacterized. The transcript has 3 exons. Lineage: Eukaryota; Metazoa; Chordata; Aves; Passeriformes; Passeridae. The record is from RefSeq and is a predicted model, not a curated record.